AAAGCGUGCCUUUCAGGCAUCCUCUCCUAAAAACUUUCAUAGGCCGCUCCUCGUUGAGCGGCCUUUUUUUCGUCUGCG
This 78-nucleotide small RNA is filed under the name Sphingomonas sp. BK069. Its description in RNAcentral is "suhB". It matches the Rfam family "Makes More Granules Regulator RNA (mmgR)". From Rfam's summary of the family: SuhB later renamed mmgR (makes more granules regulator) was a putative non-coding RNA found multiple times in the Agrobacterium tumefaciens genome and related alpha-proteobacteria. Other non-coding RNAs uncovered in the same analysis include: speF, ybhL, metA, and serC. The record is from RNAcentral. Lineage: Bacteria; Pseudomonadati; Pseudomonadota; Alphaproteobacteria; Sphingomonadales; Sphingomonadaceae. RNAcentral also lists the same sequence under 1 other name.